UACAGAGGGUGCGAGCGUUGUCCGGAAUCACUGGGCGUAAAGGGCGCGUAGGCGGCGCGGUAAGCGUGCGGUGAAAGCCCGGGGCUCAACCCCGGGUCGGCCGUGCGGACUGCCGGGCUGGAGCACUGUAGAGGCAGGUGGAAUUCCGGGUGUAGCGGUGGAAUGCGUAGAGAUCCGGAAGAACACCGGUGGCGAAGGCGGCCUGCUGGGCAGUUUUGCUGACACUGAGGCGCGACAGCGUGGGGAGCAAACAGG
This 255-nucleotide ribosomal RNA is filed under the name uncultured bacterium. RNAcentral's name for it is "partial 16S ribosomal RNA". It matches the Rfam family "Bacterial small subunit ribosomal RNA", at positions 524 to 776 of the family's 1533-position model. The record is from RNAcentral.